AUACAAUGAUGAUAUAUAGAAAAUGGAAAUUAAAAUUAAUGAUGUAAUUUGUUGAACUCGUUUUAAUGAAAAGGAAACCUUUAGAGAUUCAAAUGAUGCUACACAACCAACUCUUCCAAAAAUUUAAAUCUUCUUUACAAAAAGAAAACAAGUACAAAAAAUAUCUUUGCCAAGAUCCAACUUUGAAUUGCAAAAGAUGAAUAUCCACAAGAGACCACUCACCCCAAACAUAUCAGUUCUUAUCAUGGUUUCAAUAGAUGGGACAACUUUGUUUUUAACUAGGUUUUAGUAAGUGAGACAUUCAUUUUUAUAAUGGUUCAAUAUCACCAUUCUCCGGCAGUUGGUUGCAAUUCCUGGCAACAGCAAAACCUGAAAGAAUUUCAACAAAAUUCAGAACGGAUGAGUCAGUGGAUUCCAGGGUUAAGGAAGAGACUUGCACUUUUUCAGUGCAAGUGCAUGUCAUCGAGUUUGAAAGGCUUUUAAAGUGAUAGUUCCUCGAACAAUACUACUAGAGGAGGAAAGAAUUCAGGUGCCUGUGGUCAAUGAGGUACCAGCAAUUCGAAAGCGUGUCAGGCCUGCAGGAGAGAAAGUUUCACGACCUCUAAAUUUAACCAAUUACCGUGAACCAGAGUAAAAGCCGAACGAAUUUAGCCUGUAGCUGCUUACUUUCUUAUCAUGGAACUUGAUUAUCAGCCACUGCACUGAUUUGUCCAUGUCAAAGGCUCCUAUAAUUUUUGAGUCUGUAAUGCAAUGCGAUCUGGGAUUUUACACUGAUACACGGGUUGAACAUGGUGCAGCAAUAGUGUAGGUUCUGCGAAUAAGCGAUUGGAGAAUAUACCACUCCUAAAAUAUUGAACUUUGUAAGGUGGACGUCACUACGAUGAUCAUCACGAGACUUUAGAGGGAUGGUUCGUAAGAUACAUGAUUCGCAACUCAUUCUGAUUCAAAUUUAGAUGGGAAAUCUCAUGGUUCAACCGGAUCUCCGAAGCAGAAGGAAGGGCUCGACACCAUCGAAACUCGGCUGCAAGUGCGUGG
This 1035-nucleotide long non-coding RNA is filed under the name Physcomitrium patens. RNAcentral describes it as "long non-coding RNA (PPAT_LNC000338)". The record is from RNAcentral. Lineage: Eukaryota; Viridiplantae; Streptophyta; Bryopsida; Funariales; Funariaceae.